RNAcentral lists this ribosomal RNA (1101 nucleotides) under Triticum aestivum (bread wheat). RNAcentral's name for it is "partial small subunit ribosomal RNA". Lineage: Eukaryota; Viridiplantae; Streptophyta; Magnoliopsida; Poales; Poaceae. The record is from RNAcentral.
AUGCACCCAUGUUUGUGCCGCAAGGAGAUGCCCUGGUCCUUGAAAAAGUCUUAUCAUGGUGACGGGUUCUGCGAUGCACCAUCCUUUGACCUCGGCAUAGAUGGUGAUGCUCUAGCACCUGCUCCAGCAACAGAAACAGCGGAAGCUGGUGUGAUUUGCAUUGAUGAGUGUGAGUUGGACCCAGCAGCUGUGAAUGAAGGAUGUGAUGCUGCUGAUGCUGGCAAGGCAAUAGCUCAAGAGCUAGAUGUUGGUUCAUCAGAGAAUUGCCACACCCUGAUAUGCGCAGAACCAGAAGCUGGCACGAGUAGUUCUUCGGGACCACCUAUUGCACGAAGACAGAGGAGAGUAAUAAGGCCCGCAGCAUCUCAAAGGUCUCCAUUCAUCGACUACAACAAGAAGAAGACUUUCAGCACCAAUGAGGUAGUGAACAAGCUUUAUGCUGCCCUCUUGUAUUGGGUCAGGCAUCACAAAGGAGCAGAUGAUGGAGCUAUCAGCCCUGAGAUAAUCAGGUAUGGUGUUUUCUACAUUUCUUUAAAGGAGUUAGUUGAUUCGAUGAAGCCGGUUCAAUGGUUGUCAAAAAUUAUUAUUGAGACUGGAAUCUUACACAUCAUGGAUAACUUACUAGAAGGGUCAAAGAAGGUUGUUAUGCCACUGAGGUUUUCUAUAAAUUUACAGCAAGGGAUCCACAAUGUGAAUGAGAUAAACAAGAAGUUUGAUUACAAGAACCGUCUCGACAAGAAAGACUCGGUCAUGCUGCCAGUGCUCGAUGUCAACUUGAGGGAUGGACGCUUCGAAGUUCUUGAUUCAAGCAGGACGCUGGACAACAUUGAGCUGAUGAACACCGCCUCUACCAUUGCCGGGGCAGUACGCCAGCUAUGGAGGAAGCAUUACCCAAAGUUCAGCAUCGAGCACUUCCAGAUUAUUGACAUUGACUGUGGGUUGUUCGCACUGCUUAACGCCACCGAGUGGAAUGGUAGCCAACUGCCCAACUACGACCCCAAGGAAGUACUCAACAUCAGAAAGAAGCUGGCAUAUGAUUGGGUCACCAGCGUGCACAACACCGCCCCAUGGAGGAAGUUGCUGAGAUACGACAAGGAGUAG